This 73-nucleotide transfer RNA is filed under the name Anaeramoeba flamelloides. Its description in RNAcentral is "tRNA-Arg". It matches the Rfam family "tRNA". From Rfam's summary of the family: Transfer RNA (tRNA) molecules are approximately 80 nucleotides in length. Their secondary structure includes four short double-helical elements and three loops (D, anti-codon, and T loops). The record is from RNAcentral. Lineage: Eukaryota; Anaeramoebidae.
GCUUCGUUGGUUUAAUUCUAAAAGCGCGCCUCCACGAGGAGGUGAGAUGCGGGUUCAAGCCCUGCGCGAAGCA